UACAGAGGUCCCAAGCGUUGUUCGGAUUUACUGGGCGUAAAGGGUGCGUAGGUGGCGAGGUAAGUUCGAUGUGAAAUCUCCGAGCUCAACUCGGAAAUGGCAUUGAAUACUAUCCCGCUUGAGGGUCGGAGGGGAGACUGGAAUUCUCGGUGUAGCGGUGAAAUGCGUAGAUAUCCGGAGGAACACCGGUGGCGAAGGCGGCUUCCUGGACCGACACUGACGCUGAGGCGCGAAAGCGUGGGGAGCAAACGGG
This 253-nucleotide ribosomal RNA is filed under the name uncultured bacterium. Its description in RNAcentral is "partial 16S ribosomal RNA". It matches the Rfam family "Bacterial small subunit ribosomal RNA", at positions 524 to 776 of the family's 1533-position model. The record is from RNAcentral.